UCUUAUCCCGAGCUGGUGGAGGGUCAAGGCCCUAUGAAGCCCGGCAACCUGCAUUUUUUUGAUGCGAUGGUGCCAACCUGAUGCAAGGGGAUACCCUUGAACGAUAAGA
This 109-nucleotide non-coding RNA is filed under the name uncultured Ureibacillus sp. RNAcentral's name for it is "SAM riboswitch (S box leader)". It matches the Rfam family "SAM riboswitch aptamer (S box leader)". Rfam says of the family: The SAM riboswitch is found upstream of a number of genes which code for proteins involved in methionine or cysteine biosynthesis in Gram-positive bacteria. Lineage: Bacteria; Bacillati; Bacillota; Bacilli; Caryophanales; Caryophanaceae. The record is from RNAcentral.